Molecule: ribosomal RNA, 761 nt
Filed under: uncultured archaeon
Lineage: Archaea
Description: bacterial SSU rRNA
Rfam family: Archaeal small subunit ribosomal RNA
Source: RNAcentral
ACAUUCCGGUUGAUCCUGCCGGAGGCUAUUGCUAUCGGUGUCCGAUUUAGCCAUGCGAGUUGUACGUCUAACGUAGCAGACUGCUCAGUAACACGUGGCCGAUCUACCCUAUGGACUGGGAUAACCACGGGAAACUGUGGCUAAUCCCUGAUAGCGCUCCCGAGCUUGAAUGCUGGGAGCGUCAAAUGCUCCGGCGCCAUAGGAUGAGGCUGCGGCCGAUUAGGUAGACGGUGAGGUAACGGCUCACCGUGCCAAUAAUCGGUACGGGUCAUGAGAGUGAGAACCCGGAGACGGAAUCUGAGACAAGAUUCCGGGCCCUACGGGGCGCAGCAGGCGCGAAACCUUUACACUGCACGCCAGUGCGAUAGGGGGACACCGAGUGCGUAGGCAUAGAGCCUACGCUUUUGUGUACCGUAAGGUGGUACACGAAUAAGGGCUGGGCAAGACCGGUGCCAGCCGCCGCGGUAACACCGGCAGCCCGAGUGAUGGCCGAUAUUAUUGGGCCUAAAGCGUCCGUAGCUGGCCGCGUAGGUCCGUCGGGAAAUCUACUGGCUUAACCAGUAGGCGUCCGGCGGAAACCUCGUGGCUUGGGACCGGAAGACCUGAGGGGUACGUCUGGGGUAGGAGUGAAAUCCCGUAAUCCUGGACGGACCACCGGUGGCGAAAGCGCCUCAGGAAGACGGAUCCGACAGUGAGGGACGAAAGCUAGGGUCUCGAACCGGAUUAGAUACCCGGGUAGUCCUAGCCGUAAACGAUGCUCG